Molecule: non-coding RNA, 85 nt
Organism: Felis catus (domestic cat)
Lineage: Eukaryota; Metazoa; Chordata; Mammalia; Carnivora; Felidae
Source: Rfam
GCCUGGUUGGCUCAGUGGGUUAAGUGUCCGACUUCAGCUCAGGUCAUGAUCUCGAAGUUUGUGGGUUCGAUCCCCUCGUCGGGCU